RNAcentral lists this ribosomal RNA (1157 nucleotides) under human gut metagenome. RNAcentral describes it as "bacterial LSU rRNA". It matches the Rfam family "Bacterial large subunit ribosomal RNA", at positions 977 to 2221 of the family's 2925-position model. The record is from RNAcentral.
CUGGGAGUCAGACAGUGUCAGAUAAAUGUCAUUGUCAAAAGGGAAACAGCCCAGAUCUACAGCUAAGGUCCCAAAGUCAGGUUAAGUGGAAAACGAUGUGAAGAUACGCAGACAACCAGGAUGUUGGCUCAGAAGCAGCCACUCAUUCAAAGAGUGCGUAAUAGCUCACUGGUCGAGCGUCUUUGCGCGGAGAAUUUAACGGGGCUAAACCUGGCACCGAAGCUUAGGCAAUGUAGUGAUACAUUGGGUAGGGGAGCGUUGUAUACGCGGUGAAACAGUAGCGCAAGCGGCUGUGGAGUGUAUAGAAGUGAGAAUGCCGGAAUGAGUAGCGCGAAUGCAGUGAGAAUCUGCAUGGCCGAAAGCCUCAGGUUUUUGGAGGAAGGUUCGUCCGCUCCAAGUUAGUCGGGAGCUAAGGUGAGGCCGAAAGGCGUAGCCGAUGCACAGACGGUAGAGAUUCCGUCACCACCAAAAGAGUUAAGCACAGGGACACAUUUGAAGUCUCAGAGCCGGGUGUUGGUUCCGGUAGAGAUCGAGGGAAAUUAGUACCGAAGUCUGGGAUGGAAGAUGGCGAGAAAAGCUGUGUGUAUUUCUGAGGUGCCCGUACCGCAAACCGACACAGGUAGGUAGGAAGAAGAUUCUAAGGCCAACGGGAGAAGGGUUGUUAAGGAACUCGGCAAAUUGACCCCGUAACUUCGGGAGAAGGGGUGCUCCAGAGAUGGAGCCGCAGAGAAUCGGCCCAAGCAACUGUUUACCAAAAACACAGGUUUGUGCUAAAUCGAAAGAUGACGUAUACGAGCUGACGCCUGCCCGGUGCUGGAAGGUUAAGAGGAGAUGUGCAAGCAUUGAAUCGAAGCCCCAGUGAACGGCGGCCGUAACUAUAACGGUCCUAAGGUAGCGAAAUUCCUUGUCAGGUAAGUUCUGACCCGCAUGAAAGGCGUAAUGAUUUGGGCACUGUCUCAACAGCCCGCCCGGCGAAAUUGUAGUACCGGUGAAGAUGCCGGUUACCCGCGACAAGACGGAAAGACCCCAUGGAGCUUUACUGUAGCCUAAUAUUGGGUUUCGAUGUUGCAUGCACAGGAUAGAUGGGACACAGGGAAACAAUCGCUUUGGCGGUUGCGGAGUGGCCGUUGGGAUACCAUCCUUGCGAUAUUGGAAUU